RNAcentral lists this ribosomal RNA (519 nucleotides) under uncultured bacterium. RNAcentral describes it as "bacterial SSU rRNA". It matches the Rfam family "Bacterial small subunit ribosomal RNA", at positions 355 to 896 of the family's 1533-position model. The record is from RNAcentral.
UGAGGAAUCUUCCACAAUGGACGAAAGUCUGAUGGAGCGACACCGCGUGAAGGAUGAAGGCCUAACGGUUGUAAACUUCUUUUCUGAAGGAGCAUAAUGAGAGUACUUCAGGAAUAAGGGACGGCUAAAUACGUGCCAGCAGCCGCGGUAAUACGUAUGUCUCAAGCGUUACCCGGAAUCACUGGGUGUAAAGGGUUCGUAGGCGGAAAUUUAAGUCAGGUAUGAAAGACCGGAGCUCAACUCCGAGUUUGUGCUUGAAACUGGAUUUCUAGAAUUAGGGAGAGGUAAGCGGAAUUCUAAGUGUAGGGGUGCAAUCCGUAGAUACUUAGAGGAACACCAAAAGCGAAGGCAGCUUACUGGAACUAUAUUGACGCUGAUGAACGAAAGCGUGGGUAGCGAAAAGGAUUAGAUACCCUUGUAGUCCACGCCCUAAACGUUGAUAAUUAAGUGUUGCACAUUGGUGCAGUGCUGUAGCUAACGCGUUAAAUUAUCCACCUGAGGAGUACGGUCGCAAGAUUA